GGCUCUGUGGUGCAACGGAUGGUGUGUUGGACUUCUAAUUCAAAGGUUGUGGGGUCCAGUCCCACCAGAGUCA
Molecule: transfer RNA, 73 nt
Filed under: Albula goreensis
Lineage: Eukaryota; Metazoa; Chordata; Actinopteri; Albuliformes; Albulidae
Description: tRNA-Arg
Rfam family: tRNA
About the family: Transfer RNA (tRNA) molecules are approximately 80 nucleotides in length. Their secondary structure includes four short double-helical elements and three loops (D, anti-codon, and T loops). Further hydrogen bonds mediate the characteristic L-shaped molecular structure. tRNAs have two regions of fundamental functional importance: the anti-codon, which is responsible for specific mRNA codon recognition, and the 3' end, to which the tRNAs corresponding amino acid is attached (by aminoacyl-tRNA synthetases). tRNAs cope with the degeneracy of the genetic code in two manners: having more than one tRNA (with a specific anti-codon) for a particular amino acid; and 'wobble' base-pairing, i.e. permitting non-standard base-pairing at the 3rd anti-codon position.
Source: RNAcentral